Podarcis lilfordi (Lilford's wall lizard) is the source of this 4967-nucleotide non-coding RNA. The record is from the annotation of a GenBank genome assembly. Lineage: Eukaryota; Metazoa; Chordata; Lepidosauria; Squamata; Lacertidae.
UUUUGUGAACCAAGAAAAAUUUAAUAAUCUACAUAUAUUUACAUACAUAAAAUUGAAUUUAGAACAAGUCCAACCAAGAAACGUUCGGGUUGUGUUGUGUGUUGUGUUGUUGCUUUGCGUUGAGUUGUUGGGUGGUUUUUGGGUUGCGUUGAGUCAUUGGGUUGUGUGUUCAGUUGCGUUGCGUUGCGUUCUGUUGAGUUGUGGGUUGAGUUGUGUUGGGUUGAGUUGCGUUGGGUUGAGUUGAGUUGCGUUGGGUUGAGUUGUGGGUUGAGUUGUUGAGUUGCGUUGGGUUGAGUUGCGUUGAGUUGAGUGGUGGGUUGAGUUGUUGAGCGGCGUUGGGUUGAGUUGCGUUGGGUUGAGUUGUGUUGAGUUGUUGAGCUGCGUUGGGUUGAGUUGCGUGGGGUUGAGUUGUGGGUUGAGUUGUUGAGCUGCGUUGGGUUGAGUUGUGGGUUGAGUUGUUGAGCUGCGUUGGGUUGAGUUGUGGGUUGAGUUGUUGAGCUGCGUUGGGUUGAGUUGUGGGUUGAGUUGUUGAGCUGCGUUGGGUUGAGUUGCGUGGGGUUGAGUUGCGUUGGGUUGAGUUGUUGAGCUGCGUUGGGUUGAGUUGUUGAGCUGCGUUGGGUUGAGUUGUUGAGCUGCGUUGGGUUGAGCUGCGUUGGGUUGAGUUGCGUUGGGUUGAGUUGCGUUGGGUUGAGUUGUUGAGCUGCGUUGGGUUGAGUUGUUGAGCUGCGUUGGGUUGAGUUGCGUUGGGUUGAGUUGCGUUGGGUUGAGUUGUUGAGCUGCGUUGGGUUGAGUUGCGUGGGGUUGAGUUGCGUUGGGUUGAGUUGCGUGGGGUUGAGUUGCGUUGGGUUGAGUUGUUGAGCUGCGUUGGGUUGAGUUGUUGAGCUGCGUUGGGUUGAGUUGCGUUGGGUUGAGUUGUGUUGGGUUGAGUUGUUGAGCUGCGUUGGGUUGAGUUGUGUUGGGUUGAGUUGUUGAGCUGCGUUGGGUUGAGUUGCGUUGGGUUGAGUUGUUGAGCUGCGUUGGGUUGAGUUGCGUGGGGUUGAGUUGCGUUGGGUUGAGCUGCGUUGGGUUGAGUUGCGUUGGGUUGAGUUGCGUUGGGUUGAGUUGCAUUGGGUUGAGUUGUGGGUUGAGUUGUUGAGCUGCGUUGGGUUGAGUUGCGUUGGGUUGAGUUGUGGGUUGAGUUGUUGAGCUGCGUUGGGUUGAGUUGCGUUGGGUUGAGUUGUGGGUUGGGUUGUUGAGCUGCGUUGGGUUGAGCUGCGUUGGGUUGAGUUGCGUUGGGUUGAGUUGUUGAGCUGCGUUGGGUUGAGUUGUGGGUUGAGUUGUUGAGUUGCGUUGGGUUGAGUUGCGUUGGGUUGAGUUGUGGGUUGGGUUGUUGAGUUGCGUUGGGUUGAGUUGCGUUGGGUUGAGUUGUGGGUUGAGUUGUUGAGUUGCGUUGGGUUGAGUUGCGUUGGGUUGAGUUGUGGGUUGAGUUGUUGAGUUGCGUUGGGUUGAGUUGCGUUGGGUUGAGUUGUGGGUUGGGUUGUUGAGUUGCGUUGGGUUGAGUUGUGGGUUGAGUUGUUGAGCUGCGUUGGGUUGGGUUGUGGGUUGAGUUGUUGAGCUGCGUUGGGUUGAGUUGUGGGUUGAGUUGUUGAGCUGCGUUGGGUUGAGUUGUGGGUUGAGUUGUUGAGCUGCGUUGGGUUGAGUUGUGGGUUGAGUUGUUGAGUUGCGUUGGGUUGAGUUGUUGAGCUGCGUUGGGUUGAGUUGUUGAGCUGCGUUGGGUUGGGUUGUGGGUUGAGUUGUUGAGCUGCGUUGGGUUGAGUUGUGGGUUGAGUUGUUGAGUUGCGUUGGGUUGAGUUGUUGAGUUGCGUUGGGUUGAGUUGUUGAGCUGCGUUGGGUUGGGUUGUGGGUUGAGUUGUUGAGCUGCGUUGGGUUGAGUUGUGUUGGGUUGAGUUGUGGGUUGAGUUGUUGAGCUGCGUUGGGUUGAGUUGUUGAGUUGCGUUGGGUUGAGUUGUGUUGGGUUGAGUUGUGGGUUGAGUUGUUGAGUUGCGUUGGGUUGGGUUGUGGGUUGAGUUGUUGAGCUGCGUUGGGUUGAGUUGUUGAGUUGCGUUGGGUUGAGUUGUGGGUUGAGUUGUUGAGUUGCGUUGGGUUGAGUUGUUGAGUUGCGUUGGGUUGAGUUGUUGAGCUGCGUUGGGUUGGGUUGUGGGUUGAGUUGUUGAGCUGCGUUGGGUUGAGUUGUGGGUUGAGUUGUUGAGCUGCGUUGGGUUGAGUUGUUGAGUUGCGUUGGGUUGGGUUGUGGGUUGAGUUGUUGAGCUGCGUUGGGUUGAGUUGUUGAGUUGCGUUGGGUUGAGUUGUUGAGUUGCGUUGGGUUGAGUUGUUGAGCUGCGUUGGGUUGAGUUGUUGAGCUGCGUUGGGUUGAGUUGUGUUGGGUUGAGUUGUGGGUUGAGUUGUUGACCUGCGUUGGGUUGAGUUGUGUUGGGUUGAGUUGCGUUGGGUUGAGUUGUGUUGGGUUGAGUUGUGGGUUGAGUUGUUGAGCUGCGUUGGGGUGGGUUGUGGGGUGAGUUGUUGAGCUGCGUUGGGCUGGAGCUGUGGGUUGAGUUGUGGAGUUGCGUGGGGGUGAGUUGUUGAGUUGCGGUGGGUUGUGUUGUUGAGCUGCGUUGGGUUGAGUUGUGGGGUGAGUUGUUGAGCUGCGUUGGGUUGAGUUGCGUUGGGCUGAGUUGUGGGCUGAGUUGUUGAGCUGCGUUGGGCUGAGUUGUUGAGCUGCGCUGGGCUGAGCUGUGUUGGGCUGAGCUGUGGGCUGAGCUGUUGAGCUGCGCUGGGCUGGGCUGUGGGCUGAGCUGUUGAGCUGCGCUGGGCUGAGCUGUUGAGUUGCGCUGGGCUGAGCUGUGGGCUGAGCUGUUGAGCUGCGUUGGGUUGAGUUGCUGAGCUGCGUUGGGUUGAGUUGUUGAGCUGCGCUGGGCUGGGCUGUGGGUUGAGUUGUUGAGCUGCGUUGGGUUGAGUUGGUGAGUUGCGUUGGGUUGAGUUGUUGAGCUGCGUUGGGUUGAGUUGUUGAGCUGCGCUGGGCCGAGCUGUUGAGCUGCGUUGGGUUGAGUUGAGUUGUGUUGAGUUGUGGGCUGAGUUGUUGAGCUGCGCUGGGCUGAGUUGUGUUGGGCUGAGCUGUGGGCUGAGCUGUUGAGCUGCGCUGGGCUGAGGUGUGGGCUGAGUUGCUGAGCUGCGUUGGGUUGAGUUGCGUUGGGUUGAGUUGUGUUGGGUUGAGUUGUGGGUUGAGUUGUUGAGUUGCGUUGGGUUGAGUUGUGGGUUGAGUUGUUGAGCUGCGUUGGGUUGAGUUGUGGGUUGAGUUGUUGAGUUGCGUUGGGUUGAGUUGUUGAGCUGCGUUGGGUUGAGUUGCGUUGGGUUGAGUUGUGUUGGGUUGAGUUGUGGGUUGAGUUGUUGAGCUGCGUUGAGUUGUGGGUUGAGUUGUUGAGUUGCGUUGGGGUGAGGUGCGGUGGGGUGAGGUGUGUGGGGGUGUGUUGUGGGGUGAGUUGUUGAGCUGCGCUGGGCUGAGUUGUGGGCUGAGCUGUUGAGCUGCGUUGGGCUGAGCUGCGUUGGGCUGAGCUGUGUUGGGCUGAGCUGUGGGCUGAGUUGUUGAGCUGCGUCUGGGCUGAGCUGUGGGCUGAGUUGCUGAGCUGCGUUGGGCUGGAGUUGUUGAGCUGCGUUGGGCUGAGUUGUUGAGCUGCGUUGGGCUGAGUUGUGCUGGGCUGAGUUGUGGCUGAGCUGCUGAGCUGCGCUGGGCUGGAGUUGUGCUGGGCUGAGCUGUGCUGGGCUGAGCUGUGGGCUGAGUUGCUGAGCUGCGUUGGGCUGAGUUGUGGGCUGAGCUGUUGAGCUGCGCUGGGCUGAGUUGCGUUGGGCUGAGUUGUGCUGGGCUGAGCUGUGGGCUGGAGUUGUUGAGCUGCGUUGGGCUGAGCUGUGGGCUGAGUUGUUGAGUUGCGUUGGGUUGAGUUGCUGAGCUGCGUUGGGCUGAGUUGUUGAGCUGCGUUGGGCUGAGCUGUGCUGGGCUGAGCUGUGGGCUGAGUUGUUGAGCUGCGCUGGGCUGAGCUGUGCUGGGCUGAGCUGUGGGCUGAGCUGUUGAGCUGCGCUGGGCUUGAGCUGUGGGCUGAGCUGCUGAGCUGCGUUGGGCUGAGCUGCGCUGGGCUUGAGCUGUGCUGGGUUGAGCUGUGGGCUGAGCUGUUGAGCUGCGUUGGGCUGAGUUGUGGGUUGAGUUGUUGAGCUGCGUUGGGUUGAGCUGCGUUGGGUUGAGUUGCGUUGGGUUGAGUUGUUGAGCUGCGUUGGGUUGAGUUGCGUUGGGUUGAGUUGUGUUGGGUUGAGUUGUGGGUUGAGUUGUUGAGCUGCGUUGAGUUGUGGGUUGAGUUGUUGAGUUGCGUUGGGUUGAGUUGCGUUGGGUUGAGUUGUGUUGGGUUGAGUUGUGGGUUGAGUUGUUGAGUUGCGUUGGGUUGAGUUGUGGGUUGAGUUGUUGAGUUGCGUUGGGUUGAGUUGCGUUGGGUUGAGUUGUGUUGGGUUGAGUUGUGGGUUGAGUUGUUGAGUUGCGUUGGGUUGAGUUGUGGGUUGGGUUGUUGAGCUGCGUUGGGCUGGGCUGGGCUGGGCUGAGCUGUGCUGGGCUGGGCUGGGCUGGGCUGAGCUGUGGGCUGAGUUGUUGAGCUGCGUUGGGCUGAGCUGUGGGCUGAGUUGCUGAGCUGCGUUGGGCUGAGCUGUGGGCUGAGUUGCUGAGCUGCGCUGGGCUGAGCUGUGGGUUGAGUUGUGUUGAGCUGCGUUGGGUUGAGUUGUGGGUUGAGUUGUGUUGAGCUGCGUUGGGUUGAGUUGUGGGUUGAGUUGUGUUGAGCUGCGUUGGGUUGAGUUGUGGGUUGAGUUGUUGAGCUGCGUUGGGUUGAGUUGUUGAGCUGCGUUGGGUUGAGUUGCGUUGGGUUGAGUUGUGUUGGGUUGAGUUGUGGGUUGAGUUGUUGAGCUGCGUUGAGUUGUGG